Molecule: ribosomal RNA, 253 nt
Filed under: uncultured bacterium
Lineage: Bacteria
Description: partial 16S ribosomal RNA
Rfam family: Bacterial small subunit ribosomal RNA
Source: RNAcentral
UACGGAGGGGGCGAGCGUUAUUCGGAAUUAUUGGGCGUAAAGGGCGCGUAGGCGGCUUGUCAAGUCAAAGGUGAAAUCCCUCGGCUCAACUGAGGAACUGCCUUUGAAACUGACUGGCUUGAGGCCGGGAGGGGGUAGCGGAAUUCCCAGUGUAGCGGUGAAAUGCGUAGAUAUUGGGAGGAACACCAGUGGCGAAGGCGGCUACCUGGACCGGUUCUGACGCUGAUGCGCGAAAGCGUGGGUAGCAAACAGG